GACGAACGCUGGCGGCGUGCCUAAUACAUGCAAGUAGGACGCAGUUGCGAACGGGUGAGCAACGAGUAGGUAACUGCAGAUUAGAGGGGGCUAACUAUUGGAAACGAUAGCUAAUACCGCAUACUAGUAGAUGGACCUGCGUUGUAUUAGCUAGUAGGUAGGGUAAUGGCCUACCUAGGCAAAGAUACAUAGCCGAGCUGAGAGGGUGAUCCGGCACACUGGGACUGAGACACGGCCCAGACUCCUACGGGAGGCAGCAGUAGGGAAGCUUCGGCAAUGGGGGGAAACCUGACCGAGCAACGCCGCGGGAGUGAAGAAGGUUUUCGGAUCGUAAAGCUCUGUUGUUAAGGAAGCGGUACUUAACCAGAAAGGGACGGCUAACUACGUGCCAGCAGCCGCGGUAAUUC
Molecule: ribosomal RNA, 407 nt
Filed under: uncultured bacterium
Lineage: Bacteria
Description: partial 16S ribosomal RNA
Rfam family: Bacterial small subunit ribosomal RNA
Source: RNAcentral